UGGGAAUUUUGGACAAUGGGGCAACCCUGAUCCAGCAAUGCCGCGUGAGUGAAGAAGGCCUUCGGGUUGUAAAGCUCUUUUGUCCGGGAAGAAAUCCUCUUGGUUAAUACCUGGGAGGGAUGACGGUACUGGAAGAAUAAGCACCGGCUAACUACGUGCCAGCAGCCGCGGUAAUACGUAGGGUGCAAGCGUUAAUCGGAAUUACUGGGCGUAAAGCGUGCGCAGGCGGUUGUGCAAGACCGAUGUGAAAUCCCCGGGCUUAACCUGGGAACUGCAUUGGUGACUGCACGGCUAGAGUGUGUCAGAGGGGGGUAGAAUUCCACGUGUAGCAGUGAAAUGCGUAGAGAUGUGGAGGAAUACCGAUGGCGAAGGCAGCCCCCUGGGAUAACACUGACGCUCAUGGCACGAAAGCGUGGGGAGCAAACAGGAUUAGAUACCCUGGUAGUCCACGCCCUAAACGAUGUCAACUAGUUGUCGGGUCUUAAAUUGACUUGGUAACGCAGCUAACGCGUGAAGUUGACCGCCUGGGGAGUACGGUCGCAAGAUUAAAACUGCAAAGGAAUUGACGGGGGUCAUAGCUGA
Molecule: ribosomal RNA, 582 nt
Filed under: uncultured bacterium
Lineage: Bacteria
Description: partial 16S ribosomal RNA
Rfam family: Bacterial small subunit ribosomal RNA
Source: RNAcentral